RNAcentral lists this ribosomal RNA (492 nucleotides) under uncultured bacterium. Its description in RNAcentral is "partial 16S ribosomal RNA". It matches the Rfam family "Bacterial small subunit ribosomal RNA", at positions 29 to 507 of the family's 1533-position model. The record is from RNAcentral.
AGUGAACGCUGGCGGUAGGCCUAACACAUGCAAGUCGAACGGCAGCACAGUAAGAGCUUGCUCUUACGGGUGGCGAGUGGCGGACGGGUGAGGAAUACAUCGGAAUCUACUUUUUCGUGGGGGAUAACGUAGGGAAACUUACGCUAAUACCGCAUACGACCUACGGGUGAAAGCAGGGGAUCUUCGGACCUUGCGCGAUUGAAUGAGCCGAUGUCGGAUUAGCUAGUUGGCGGGGUAAAGGCCCACCAAGGCGACGAUCCGUAGCUGGUCUGAGAGGAUGAUCAGCCACACUGGAACUGAGACACGGUCCAGACUCCUACGGGAGGCAGCAGUGGGGAAUAUUGGACAAUGGGCGAAAGCCUGAUCCAGCCAUACCGCGUGGGUGAAGAAGGCCUUCGGGUUGUAAAGCCCUUUUGUUGGGAAAGAAAAGCAGCAGGUUAAUACCCCGCUGUUCUGACGGUACCCACAGAAUAAGCACCGGCUAACUUCGUG